UACGUAGGGUGCAAGCGUUAAUCGGAAUUACUAGGCGUAAAGCGUGCGCAGGCGGUUUUGUAAGACAGAUGUGAAAUGCCCGGGCUUAACCUGGGAACUGCAUUUGUGACUGCAAGGCUAGAGUUUGGCAGAGGGGGGUAGAAUUCCACGUGUAGCAGUGAAAUGCGUAGAUAUGUGGAGGAAUACCGAUGGCGAAGGCAGCCCCCUGGGUCAAGACUGACGCUCAUGCACGAAAGCGUGGGGAGCAAUCAGG
RNAcentral lists this ribosomal RNA (253 nucleotides) under uncultured bacterium. Its description in RNAcentral is "partial 16S ribosomal RNA". It matches the Rfam family "Bacterial small subunit ribosomal RNA", at positions 524 to 776 of the family's 1533-position model. The record is from RNAcentral.